Molecule: ribosomal RNA, 253 nt
Filed under: uncultured bacterium
Lineage: Bacteria
Description: partial 16S ribosomal RNA
Rfam family: Bacterial small subunit ribosomal RNA
Source: RNAcentral
UACGUAGGUGGCAAGCGUUGUCCGGAUUUACUGGGCGUAAAGAGCGCGCAGGCGGUCGUUCAAGUCGCGUGUGAAAGCCCCCGGCUCAACUGGGGAGGGUCACGCGAUACUGAUCGACUCGAAGGCAGGAGAGGGAAGUGGAAUUCCCGGUGUAGUGGUGAAAUGCGUAGAUAUCGGGAGGAACACCAGUGGCGAAGGCGAGUCCCUGGACGACUCCUGACACUGAGGCACGAAAGCUAGGGGAGCAAACAGG